Molecule: ribosomal RNA, 427 nt
Filed under: uncultured archaeon
Lineage: Archaea
Description: bacterial SSU rRNA
Rfam family: Archaeal small subunit ribosomal RNA
Source: RNAcentral
UACCAGCUCUCCGAGUGGUAGGGAUGAUUAUUGGGCUUAAAGCGUCCGUAGCCAGCUUAGCAAGUCUCCUGUUAAAUUCAGCGACCUAAUCGUUGAGCCGCGGGAGAUACUACUAGGCUAGGAGGCGGGAGAGGUCGACGGUACUUCUGGGGUAGGGUGAAAUCCUAUAAUCCCGGGAGGACCACCAGUGGCGAAGGCUGUCGACUAGAACGCGCUCGACGGUGAGGGACGAAAGCUGGGGGAGCGAACCGGAUUAGAUACCCGGGUAGUCCCAGCUGUAAACGAUGCGGGCUAGGUGUUGGGGUGGCUACGUGCCACUUCAGUGCCGCAGGGAAGCCAUUAAGCCCGCCGCCUGGGGAGUACGGCCGCAAGGCUGAAACUUAAAGGAAUUGGCGGGGAGCACCACAAGACGUGAAGCUUGCGGUUC